CUGCCCAGUGUCAAUAGAUAAAUGGCCGCAGUACCUUGACUGUGCUAAGGUAGCAUAAUCAAUUGGCUUUUAAUUGAAGUCUAGAAUGAAUGGGAUAAUGGAAUUUAGCUGUCUUGAUUUUUUUAAUAAAAAUUUAUUUAUAAGGUGAAAAUCCCUUAUCUUACUAAUAACGUAGAGAAGACCCUAUGAAUUUUUUAAAUUUUUUGCGCAGGGGCGACAGUUUAAAAAAUAAAUCUUAAAUUUAAAAUAUAUAACGAUUUUUUUAAUAAAAAUUAAAUUACCUUAGGGAUAACAGCAUUAUUAUUCAAAUAGUUUGUGACCUCGAUGUUGGACUAGGAACUAAAAGGCUAACCGUCUUUAUAGAUUUGUU
RNAcentral lists this ribosomal RNA (370 nucleotides) under Gyraulus sp. clade A TS-2018. RNAcentral describes it as "partial 16S ribosomal RNA". The stretch from base 1 to 158 matches the Rfam family "Archaeal large subunit ribosomal RNA", at positions 1951 to 2143 of the family's 2987-position model. Lineage: Eukaryota; Metazoa; Mollusca; Gastropoda; Planorbidae. The record is from RNAcentral.